Molecule: long non-coding RNA, 285 nt
Organism: Rhinichthys klamathensis goyatoka
Lineage: Eukaryota; Metazoa; Chordata; Actinopteri; Cypriniformes; Leuciscidae
Exons: 2
Source: RefSeq, a predicted model, not a curated record
CUGACGCUAAAGGGUGCCUAAAGCGUCGAAUAUUGAAGCAUGGUCAAAAUGAUUCCCAAGGCAUAUAUACACUAGAUGUCACCUUGGCUACGGCAGUUCAUUGGAACGAAUGCUUCAAUAGAGCCGCCACCAUGGAACAAGGGAGCCCCUCCUCUUUAAUACAGAAGCGUCAAUGUAGGCAAAGGUCUAACGGAAAUAAAAUCACCAUAAAUCGUCAUGAAUGCGAUUUUUCUAGUUUUUUGGUUCGUUCCAAUGGUCAGACAUGUAUUUAUCAUUGAGUCCAGA